This 305-nucleotide ribosomal RNA is filed under the name uncultured bacterium. RNAcentral's name for it is "bacterial SSU rRNA". It matches the Rfam family "Bacterial small subunit ribosomal RNA", at positions 335 to 641 of the family's 1533-position model. The record is from RNAcentral.
GCCCUACGGGGCGCAGCAGUGGGGAAUAUUGCACAAUGGGGGAAACCCUGAUGCAGCGACGCCGCGUGAGUGAAGAAGUAUCUCGGUACGUAAAGCUCUAUCAGCAGGGAAGAAAAAAAGUCCUUUGGACUUUGGACGGUACCUGACCAAGAAGCCCCGGCUAACUACGUGCCAGCAGCCGCGGUAAUACGUAGGGGGCAAGCGUUAUCCGGAUUUACUGGGUGUAAAGGGUGCGUAGGCGGCUUUAUAAGUCAGAAGUGAAAUCCAUGGGCUUAACCCAUGAACUGCUUUUGAAACUGUAGAGC